CCUGGGGGAGCUCGUGCAACGGGCUGAGAUGAGGGCACCACCCGAAAACCCCGACACCUGAUCAGGGUAAUGCCUGCGUAGGAAAGGAAGUAAUU
This 95-nucleotide non-coding RNA is filed under the name bovine gut metagenome. RNAcentral's name for it is "TPP riboswitch (THI element)". It matches the Rfam family "TPP riboswitch aptamer (THI element)", at positions 8 to 91 of the family's 105-position model. From Rfam's summary of the family: Vitamin B(1) in its active form thiamin pyrophosphate (TPP) is an essential coenzyme that is synthesised by coupling of pyrimidine and thiazole moieties in bacteria. The record is from RNAcentral.